Molecule: ribosomal RNA, 534 nt
Filed under: Triticum aestivum (bread wheat)
Lineage: Eukaryota; Viridiplantae; Streptophyta; Magnoliopsida; Poales; Poaceae
Description: partial small subunit ribosomal RNA
Source: RNAcentral
AUGGUUUGGUCCAUCUGCGUACCCCUGAAAAUUCGUAUCUUCAUGUGGCAGUGGAUUCGCGGUCGGGUACCGUCCGGGACGGAGGUACGCAAGCGCAAUGGCCCGGGUACCGGCAUCUGUCCGCUCUGCGGCGUUCUCAAAGACUCGAAACCCAUUUUCUUCUCCUGCGUUUCUGCCCAGUUCCUUUGGAGCUGCUUUCACGAGGUGGUCGGUGGAAAUUGGUGCCACACCAAUUUCCCGGACUUAUUUGCUGAACUGCAGCUGUCCCCCGCGACCUCUUGCCACAUUAGGUGGCUUGAGGUUGGGGUUCUUGCCUGGACCCUCUGGACUGUUCGCAAUAAACUUGUGAUUCAGCGUACUCCCCUCCGACGGGCUACUGACGCUCUCUUCAAACUCUCGGGUUUCUUGCAGCUUUGGCGGACGCUUAGCCGCCCCCCGGACCGCGACGCCAUCUCAGCCUUCAUCGCCGACCUCCGCUCGAUGGCCGUCCGCCUGUCGCCGCCGCCUCCACCGCCACCGCCGAAUCCAGACUAG